ACUCAAAUGAAUUGACGGGGGCCCGCACAAGCAGCGGAGCAUGUGGUUUAAUUCGAAGCAACGCGAAGAACCUUACCAAGGCUUGACAUCCCACUAAAGCUAUGGAAACAUAGUGUGCCUUCGGGCGAGUGGAGACAGGUGGUGCAUGGUUGUCGUCAGCUCGUGUCGUGAGAUGUUGGGUUAAGUCCCGCAACGAGCGCAACCCCUAUUGCUAGUUGCCAGCACGUAAAGGUGGGGACUCUAGUGAGACCGCCGGGGACAACUCGGAGGAAGGUGGGGACGACGUCAAAUCAUCAUGCCCCUUAUGUCUUGGGCUACACACGUGCUACAAUGGCCACUACAGAGGGCCGCAAAGCCGCAAGGCCAAGCCAAUCUCAGAAAAGUGGUCUCAGUUCGGAUUGUGGGCUGCAACCCGCCCACAUGAAGUCGGAGUUGCUAGUAAUCGCGAAUCAGAAUGUCGCGGUGAAUACGUUCCCGGGCCUUGUACACACCGCCCGU
This 498-nucleotide ribosomal RNA is filed under the name uncultured bacterium. RNAcentral describes it as "bacterial SSU rRNA". It matches the Rfam family "Bacterial small subunit ribosomal RNA", at positions 899 to 1397 of the family's 1533-position model. The record is from RNAcentral.